Molecule: unclassified non-coding RNA, 353 nt
Filed under: Mortierella calciphila
Lineage: Eukaryota; Fungi; Mortierellomycota; Mortierellomycetes; Mortierellales; Mortierellaceae
Description: sequence contains 5.8S rRNA gene
Source: RNAcentral
GAACGCAUAUUGCGCUCUCUGGCAUUCCGGAGAGCAUGCUUGUUUGAGUAUCAGUAAACACCUCAAGUCGAGAGAUUUUUUUCUUGAGACUUGGAUUUGAGUGAUCCUAAUAACGAGUCCCUUUAAAAAAGGACAAGUAGGCAGGUUACUUGAAAUUCAGGUGCAGCUGAACUUUUCUUCUGAGCUAAAAGCAUUAUUUAUUUAGUCUUUAUUGACUAUUACUUUUUUUGCUGCAGCUAAUAUAAAGGAAGGGAAGCUUCAUUAUGGCUGACUGAUGCAGGAAUUUAUCAGUCUGGUAAAAAGGACUGUUAGACUCGAUCUCAAAUCAAGUAAGACUACCCGCUGAACUUAAG